This 231-nucleotide small RNA is filed under the name Azospirillum lipoferum. RNAcentral describes it as "Manganese sequence". The stretch from base 1 to 115 matches the Rfam family "Manganese Mn2+ riboswitch aptamer (yybP-ykoY)". Lineage: Bacteria; Pseudomonadati; Pseudomonadota; Alphaproteobacteria; Rhodospirillales; Azospirillaceae. The record is from RNAcentral.
UUGCGCGUCAUUGGGGAGUAGCCACCCUCCGGCGUUGGAGGGGUUCGCGUCAACAGACUUGGACGGUUCCGGCGGGUGCGCCGAACCGCCAUGGCGCGGACAGCCGUCUUCGGACCAGCCAGGCGAGACCAGUGGAACGGGCAUCUCCGCAGGCCAGCCGGAGUCCGCCUGUAUCCACUGAAAUCCGCUUGGCCGAGGAUUCGUCGAUGUUCGGGACCUCCCUGGCCCUAG